Molecule: ribosomal RNA, 253 nt
Filed under: uncultured bacterium
Lineage: Bacteria
Description: partial 16S ribosomal RNA
Rfam family: Bacterial small subunit ribosomal RNA
Source: RNAcentral
UACGUAGGGUGCAAGCGUUGUCCGGAAUUAUUGGGCGUAAAGAGCUCGUAGGCGGUCUGUCGCGUCGGCUGUGAAAACCGGGGGCUUAACCCUCGGCGUGCGGGCGAUACGGGCAGACUGGAGUACUGCAGGGGAGACUGGAAUUCCUGGUGUAGCGGUGGAAUGCGCAGAUAUCAGGAGGAACACCGGUGGCGAAGGCGGGUCUCUGGGCAGUAACUGACGCUGAGGAGCGAAAGCGUGGGGAGCGAACAGG